UACGAAGGGGGCUAGCGUUGUUCGGAAUUACUGGGCGUAAAGCGUGCGCAGGCGGCUUCUCAAGUCAGUGGUGAAAGCCCGGAGCUCAACUCCGGAAUUGCCAUUGAAACUGUGGAGCUUGAGGACGAGAGAGGUGAGUGGAAUUCCAGGUGUAGCGGUGAAAUGCGUAGAUAUCUGGAGGAACACCGGUGGCGAAGGCGGCAUCCUGGACCGAUACUGACGCUGAGGAGCGAAAGCCAGGGGAGCAAACGGG
This 253-nucleotide ribosomal RNA is filed under the name uncultured bacterium. RNAcentral's name for it is "partial 16S ribosomal RNA". It matches the Rfam family "Bacterial small subunit ribosomal RNA", at positions 524 to 776 of the family's 1533-position model. The record is from RNAcentral.